Molecule: RNA transcript, 1387 nt
Organism: Fragaria vesca subsp. vesca
Lineage: Eukaryota; Viridiplantae; Streptophyta; Magnoliopsida; Rosales; Rosaceae
Exons: 2
Source: RefSeq, a predicted model, not a curated record
CUCUCUCCGAACACUCAGUCCACUCUCAAGAUCUCUCUCUAUCUCUCGCUUCAUAAAUCGGAGUUGUGCAGUCAGUAACCAAAUCCAAAUCUUUUCCAGAUUUGGUCUCCAAGAAUUUCAGGUGCCCCCAAGAGGAAAGUUUAGAGACCAAGGUUUACUGCUAUGAACUCGCGACCAUGAAAUAGUUGCGAUUACUCUGCACCAACACUUGAUGAGGUAAGUUUGUUUUGAACAUUUGGACUUGGGGUUGUGGAUUGUCUCACUAACUCGAUUCAUUCCACCUUCGGUAACCUGCAUGUGAUGGAUGGGUUCAUUUGAUGGUGUUAAGGUGAUGAAACAGAUAUAGAGUUAAAUGAUAAAACAGAUGGAACUUAGAAUAUCCCCAUUGUUGGGUAAAGGCACAAAGAACAUGGGUAAAGAGUAGCUUGAAGCAAAGAUUCCAGUUUCUUCAAGCAUUUGUAUUAAAUAGUUGAAAUUUAUUAUUCCUAAAUUAAUAUAGAUGUGUCAUGCUAGAACUUUUUGUUUUGCGGAGUGCAGUUUUCUUCUAAAAGCUUAAACAGAUACAGAUACGCUAUAGCUCAGAUUAAACAUAUAGCUUUGUCCAAAAUAGAAGAAGAAAAGAUUCAAUUUAUAGCAUUGUUUAGUUGCCAUUGUCUUUUAUUACUGACUUUCUUGGCUUGAAUACUGUCUUUUACAGUGUUCUAUAUUACUGGUCAUGAGGAGAACAUUCUCAGUGAUGAUGCAAUAGCUGAAAAGCAGAUAACAUACAAUCUCAGUAAUGUAUAAUCAGUGUUUUUUUUUUUUCUGCAUAUGUUGGUACAAUUAAAUCAUGGGAUGGGAGAUUAAUAAUUGUUCUUUAAGUUUGAUGGGACUUGGUUGCUUCUUUUCUAUAAUCCUUCAGCUUUGUAAUCAUGUUCUCAGAUUUUUAAUUUACUUACACUUAUGCACAAACUCUGUCUAUUCACCACAACUUUAGCCGCAUUGCUGAUAGUAAAUCCCUUAUUAUUUCAGUAAGUUGUGAAAGGGAAGUAGCGGAAAUGUCCACAUUAAAUUCAUAAGCAUAUUGUCAAUUGAUGCAAAAUUGGAACCAAAAGGUGAACGUGCGACAUAUUUUUGACAAUUUUCAAUUCCGCAUGAAUACACUUAACCUUUCUAUUCUGUUUAUGAAUGAAUGCAGAAAACUAGCUUGCAAGGAUUUGGACUUGAUAUAGUCUGUCAAGAGAGGUGGUUAUAUGGAAAGAAAAAUGGUACUACUGUGCAGAAGCUAAUAUAAGAGUAUAAAGCUAUAUGCUCAAAAUCUACCAAUUAAGAGGGCACAGUUAAUGUUAAGAGUGCAGUUUGUAAUAGGUAUGAUCUUGAUUUGAUUGUUGAUUUGAUUGGAUGUGAG